This 465-nucleotide ribosomal RNA is filed under the name uncultured bacterium. RNAcentral describes it as "partial 16S ribosomal RNA". It matches the Rfam family "Bacterial small subunit ribosomal RNA", at positions 28 to 507 of the family's 1533-position model. The record is from RNAcentral.
GACGAACGCUGGCGGCGUGCUUAACACAUGCAAGUCGAACGGUAAGGCUCCAGCUUGCUGGGGUACACGAGUGGCGAACGGGUGAGUAACACGUGGGUGACCUGCCCUGCACUUCGGGAUAAGCCCGGGAAACUGGGGCUAAUACCGGAUAGGACCGCCCCGUGAGGGUGUGGUGGAAAGUUUUUUCGGCGUGGGAUGGGCGCGCGGCCUAUGAGCUUGUUGGUGGGGUAGUGGACUACGACGGCGGCGAGGGGUAGCCGGCCUGGGAGGGGGGACGGCCACAUGGGGACUGCGGGAGGGCCCAGAGGCGUAUGGGGGGCAGUGGGGGGGAGUAUGGUAAAAUGGGGGGACGUGUGUGGAGGCGACGCCGGGUGGGGGAUGACGUCUCUGGGGGGGGAAACCGAGUAAACCUGCGACGAAGGGUGAGUGACGGUAAAGGGAGAAGAAGCACCGGCUAACUACGUG